GACGAACGCUGGCGGCGUGCCUAACACAUGCAAGUUGAGCGACGAACCAGGGCUUGCCCUGGGGCAAAGCAGCGAACGGGUGAGUAACACGUGGGUAACCUACCCCGAUAACCGGGACAACCCGAGGAAACUCGGGCUAAUACCGGAUGUGCUCACUGGACUUCGGUUCAGUGCGUAAAGGAAGCUUCGGCCUCCGUAUCGGGAGGGGCCCGCGGCCCAUUAGGUUGUUGGUGAGGUAACGGCUCACCAAGACCGCGAUGGGUAGCUGGUCUGAGAGGACGAUCAGCCACACUGGGACUGAGACACGGCCCAGACUCCUACGGGAGGCAGCAGUGGGGAAUCUUGCGCAAUGCGCGAAAGCGUGACGCAGCAACGCCGCGUGGGGGAAGAAGGCCUUCGUGUUGUAAACCCCUUUCAGGAGGGACGAAGGUUCGGCGGUGAAUAGCCGUCCGGACUGACGGUACCUCCACAAGAAGCCCCGGCUAACUACGUG
RNAcentral lists this ribosomal RNA (493 nucleotides) under uncultured bacterium. RNAcentral's name for it is "partial 16S ribosomal RNA". It matches the Rfam family "Bacterial small subunit ribosomal RNA", at positions 28 to 507 of the family's 1533-position model. The record is from RNAcentral.